RNAcentral lists this long non-coding RNA (385 nucleotides) under Homo sapiens (human). RNAcentral describes it as "non-protein coding lnc-LRP12-6:1". The record is from RNAcentral. Lineage: Eukaryota; Metazoa; Chordata; Mammalia; Primates; Hominidae.
AUACCUCUCUCUUGGAAUACAUCGAGUCCAAAGAAGACACACCUCUGAAGUCAGCCUCUCUCUAUAAUCUGCAUUCUUGGUCAACUCAAGAGACUGAGCUGUAACUUGACUAUGGAACUGCUACUAUAAACCCAGCAGGGUAAACCCGGGCAUCUGAAAACGGUCAGCGCAUUUCAGAGACAGGGAUUGAUGAAGGCAUAGAUGAAGAAAGGCUCAGUACCUUUAUGGGCAGAAUCAGCAUUUGGAGGGGAAAAAAAUGUAUCUCCUGUGGCUAAAGGUGGGCAUGUUAAAAAAUAUAAACAUGCUACCUGGAACCACUGCCAAGUGCCACUAAAUGGAGAAGGAAUAAGAUGAACUCAAGAGCAUCACCUACAGGGGAAAAUGA